Molecule: ribosomal RNA, 274 nt
Filed under: uncultured Peptostreptococcaceae bacterium
Lineage: Bacteria; Bacillati; Bacillota; Clostridia; Peptostreptococcales; Peptostreptococcaceae
Description: partial 16S ribosomal RNA
Rfam family: Bacterial small subunit ribosomal RNA
Source: RNAcentral
UGCAAGUCGAGCGAUCUUCUUCGGAAGAGAGCGGCGGACGGGUGAGUAACGCGUGGGUAACCUGCCCUAUACACACGGAUAACAUACCGAAAGGUAUGCUAAUACGAGAUGAUAUAAGAAAUUCGCAUGUUUUUCUUAUCAAAGCUUUUGCGGUAUAGGAUGGACCCGCGUCUGAUUAGCUAGUUGGUAAGGUAAUGGCUUACCAAGGCGACGAUCAGUAGCCGACCUGAGAGGGUGAUCGGCCACAUUGGAACUGAGACACGGUCCAAACUCC